This 715-nucleotide ribosomal RNA is filed under the name uncultured bacterium. RNAcentral describes it as "bacterial SSU rRNA". It matches the Rfam family "Bacterial small subunit ribosomal RNA", at positions 56 to 749 of the family's 1533-position model. The record is from RNAcentral.
UGCAAGUCGAGCGGGACCUUGAAAGUAGCUUGCUACAGACAAGGUUUAGCGGCGGACGGGUGAGUAACACGUAGGCAACCUGCCUGUAAGCUGGGGAUAACCUCCGGAAACGGAAGCUAAGACCCGAUAGGAGAUGCUCUCGCAUGGGAGCGUUUGGAAAGACGGAGCAAUCUGUCGCUUACGGAUGGGCCUGCGGCGCAUUAGCUAGUAGGUGAGGUAACGGCUCACCUAGGCGACGAUGCGUAGCCGACCUGAGAGGGUGAACGGCCACACUGGGACUGAGACACGGCCCAGACUCCUAUGGGAGGCAGCAGUAGGGAAUCUUCGGCAAUGGACGAAAGUCUGACCGAGCAACGCCGCGUGAGUGAAGAAGGGUUUCGGCUCGUAAAACUCUGUUGCCAAGGAAGAAGGGUAAGGAGAGUAACUGCUCUUUAUUUGACGGUACUUGAGAAGAAAGCCCCGGCUAACUACGUGCCAGCAGCCGCGGUAAUACGUAGGGGGCAAGCGUUGUCCGGAAUUAUUGGGCGUAAAGCGCGCACAGGCGGUUUUUUAAGUCUGGUGUAUAAGCUCAGGGCUCAACUCUGGGAGGCACUGGAAACUGGAAGACUGGAGUACAGGAGAGGAAAGUGGAAUUCCACGUGUAGCGGUGAAAUGCGUAGAGAUGUGGAGGAACACCAGUGGCGAAGGCGACUUUCUGGCCUGAAACUGACGCUGA